Molecule: long non-coding RNA, 17126 nt
Filed under: Gossypium barbadense (sea-island cotton)
Lineage: Eukaryota; Viridiplantae; Streptophyta; Magnoliopsida; Malvales; Malvaceae
Description: long non-coding RNA (GBAR_LNC011663)
Source: RNAcentral
UAAGUUUUGCAUGUCCUAGUCCAAUCCUCAGCAGGCCGUCUUCUGCAUUGUUCUUCUCAUCUUUUGAUAGUGCAUUUUUCUCUACUUCUUGACGGUCAGAACGAGAAUCUAACAUCUUUCUAUUAAGGUCUAAUGUUGUUGUCUCUCCGUCUUUCUCGACUGGAUUUUGCUUGUCUGUACCUACAUUUUCCUUUUGCUGCCCCUUGUUCUUCCCAUCAUGUGGAGGAGAGAAGCUUUGUGGAAGUACCUCUCUGGAGAAGAGGGCUUGAAAAGCCAGUCGUCCCUGAAUAAGCAGUGAAGCCGUAUAGCGAUCAAUGUACAAUACAAUUAGAAUAAUAAUCAAGUUAAGCUAUAUAGGAAAAUUGACACAUCAACUCACCUCUUCAGAUACCUCCUUCCAAGAAUCACUAAGGUUACUGCUGCUUCUACUACGACGGUUACAUUCAACUUGUGGAUGAUUUGGAUCAGCUCCUUUUGAAUCUUCCUUGUCUUUUUCAAGUUUUUCUAACAUGUCUGUCUCUACCUCACUACUUGAAUUGGAACCACAUGAGGACCGGUCAACUUGUUUUCUGUUCUUCAUUUUAUCUGCAUCCUGAGGCUCAAUUACUUCAGCAGCCUUCUCAUCAUCAGUAGCUUUCACUUCAGUAUUCGCUUUUGCAUCUACUCUCUCUUCACAGUCUGAUGAUGAUGAAGUAGGUGAUUUAGAUGCUGAAUGCUGACCUGGCAAAGCUUCAGAGUAUUCAGGGUAUAGUCGUUCAUCCUGAGUAGUUAGGGCUAGAUCAGUUUUAUCUUUUUGUUCCAUAUUUGCAGCUGGAAUUUGACCAUUCUCCAUUGGUGGAACUGCAGCAGUGGAUGCAGGAGCACAGGUAAAGCCUGUGUGCAGAGGAGCACAUAUAGGAAGCAGUCCAUGGGCGGUCCACCAUGCAGUGGCAGCUGCUACUGUUGCAGCAGCAAUUGCGGCCAUACUAGGAGCAGAGUUCAUUUGUGUAGAUGGGAAACCUCUUAGUUCAUUUGCAGGAGAAUCGCCAGAACUUUCAAUGUUUGCAUAUGGCCAAAAUGUAGCUGCAAAACUUGCUGCAGCAUGAGCAGCUGGAUUCUGUAACAAAGUAGAUACAAUGAGAUUGGAAAAAGUGGAGCUGACAUGUAGAAAGGAUCGAUACUCCUCUUGAUCGGGCCGAAGAUGUAUAAAGGGAGUAUGAAAAGGUGGCAAUGCCUGAUGAGUAGAUUUUGGUGCAUUAUUCUUAUGUUCAGUAGUUGCUGAUGCAGCUGGAUUUGCAAACAGGUUAGGUCCAUGAACAUUGCCCGUAGGGUGAAAUACAGAAUCUUGAAAUGACAUACCCAGGGAAGGAUUUUGAACACAUGUUCUAAGGCUUCCAUCUAGGACAUGCACAGCAACAUGCCGAGGAUAAUUUUGAGCAGCUUGCAUCUCAUCUGCACAAAAAUCACCAUCCAAAUCAUCUUUUCUCUGGCCUUGAGCUGAUUUCUCAUAUGAAGUGCAAGACUUCUCCAAGUUUGAAGCCUUACUUGUACCAUUAUCAUGAAAUGUCUGUUGGACAUUAAGUUUAUAAGGUUCACAAAUUUCUUUAAGUUCAAGAAUAACAUAGAAUUCAUGUUUUUCAUGAUUUACUACCUCUUUUGGCAAAGGUACAAACUCCCUGAAUGUACAAGAGCUUUUGAGUGCAGUUGACAUUGGUAUAAAAUUCUUAUUCAUGGAAGACGCAGAGGAGCAGUUUUGUUCGUGGAGAAGGGUAAAAACCUCAGAGCAACUCUGGUCUUGAUUUUCUUUCAGGUUUGUAGCCUUUUCAUCUCCAGUAGGUCUCUGACAAACACAAUAUAUUUGAAGCUUACGUUAAAAAGGAGAAAAGAAAAAGAACAUAAUUAAGAGCAUGAAUAAAGUAGUUGAGGAGGAGAAAGAAACCUCCGGAAGUGGUUCUUUCUCCAAGUCCAACAUUUGCUUGCAACGCAAAGAAGAUAAUGGCAUUUCAGAUUUUCCAUCCUUAGCUCCCUCUUGUACUGUAGUAGCAGCACCAGUUUUUCGAGGAUAAGGAUUGCUUGGUUUUCUUUUAGGGCGUGGAGGUGGAAUCUCUAUGUCAAGAGCUUGACCUAUUGGUACACCUUUAGCAAGUGCCUCCUUCUCCAACUGAGAAUGGAUUAUUGUCAGUAGCAUCAAUAAAAUGAUAAAACAUAAGAGAAAUCUUACGAGUUUUUGGAGGCACCAAUGAAGCAUCAAUAUAAUAUUAACAAUGUGCAACACUAAAAUUAAUGAUAGGAAUGACAUAACUAAAUGCAACAUGAUCAUAUCUAACCAGUAUAAUUCCAAAUAUUAUCAGGAAACAAGAAGUCCAAGUAUAUAAUUGCUCUACAAUCUACAAAUAUCUCACACAGGAGGUUCAUACAAAAUUUUAUACUCCUGUUGUCAAUUAAUAUGGCCUGUUUUAUAACAUUAGAUUAGAUUAGAUUCUUCUUUUAUCCUUUCAUCCCAUAACAUGUCUGCUCAAGACUCGUCAGCAAUAUAAUACUUGAAUGUAGCAGACAUAAACACAGCCCACAGUUGAACAUAUACAUAGACAAAGAUUGACUAAAUAAAAAAGGGGGGGCUGGUUUAGCCGAGCAGUCAGUUCUGCUCGGCUAAACCAACCCCCCAUUUUACUAGGAGAAGAGAGGAUUAGCUGUAUUUAGAUGAAAAGAAAAUUACCAGUGGUUUCUUAAGAAACACAGUUUAGGUACUGCAUAAAUAAGAUUAAUCAAACCAUCUAUAAUGUUCAUUGUCAUGUAAAAUUGAGAUCAUUAAAGGUUAGGACUUCAGACUGAAGAAAGUAUUUGAUAAAGCUUUAACCAUAAUAUUCUUGAACAAUCUUCAUUUGCUUACUGUCCUGAUAAGAUUUAUCACUCACGAGCUAAUCGAGAUAAAAAUGUUAUGCAUGCAUUUGUUUGCGACAUCAGAAAUAUGAAAAGGAAAAAAAGAAGGAAGUAAUGCAUUACCAUGUACCUAACUUUAACAUAAUUGGCAGGUGACUGCCGAUAACCUGCAGGAAAUAAGUCUUUAAGAGAAGAAUCCAGUAAAAUCUUACUUUUACUGAAGAUGUAUACUUAAGGAGGAUAAUCGCUUAAGACAGACCUAUAGGAUGCAUACCUCAAAUCAAACAUCAUAAUUAGCUACAAGGCACAUCUAACAGACAUGCUGCUGUGAGCUUGGCUGCAAAACUUAAGGUACUAUGGGGAAGAUUGAUCCCAGUAUGAUCACCUAGAAGGUAUAAUAUAGUUUCAAUUAGGACUUAUCUUUCUGAUUAAAAGAAAAAUAUGCAGAUCAGAAUUUUAUGUUCCACAUUACUAGGAAAGGAAAUUAGUUGUAUCAUAAAUGAUAACAUCUAUAUAGAAGGUAUGAUCCUUAAGCAUAAAUGAGUACCCAUCUUGCAUUUCAAGCUCUCCCAAUUCCCAGAAAUGGAAGAACAAAAAUAAAAUUCAUUUUUUAGAUCUAACGAGUAUCUGGCUCACACCAGCAAUAUGGCUAAUGUUUGAAGAGAUUUCUCACCAGUAAUCUAAAGUUCUAAACACAUCAACAAACUCUAUAAUUCAACAAAUUCGUGUCAUCCCUGCUAGUACUAACUACUACUCAUCAUAUCCACUCUAAUGUUAGAUAAGAUCAUUUGGUAUUAUGAGAUCAACAUCUUCAACAGCCCUAAACUAAGUAGAUAUAAGCCCUAAACUUCCACCACAUAAAGGAGAUAAUAAAAAGUAGGCAAUAAAAUGCAAAAAAGAUAUAAGCCCUUGAGAUAUUGUCUUGAAAGGAUGUGAAACUUGCCACUAUAAAAGCUUUUAACAAAAAAAUGAUCCUAAAAUCAAAAGCUAUAAGCUAUCAAAUUUACCCUAACUGCAGAUUCAUUGCCAACCUUGGAUGCUGAUGAAUUGAACUAUUAGCAACCUUGAGAUGCUCUACACAUAAAGGAUACACUAAGCGGUAAUUCUAACUUGCAAUGACUAGCAUACUGGCCAUGGAUGCUAAAGAUUUCAGUUUAAACCAGAACCAAAAUCUAUGCAUAUAAUAUAGCAACAAAGAACAUGAUAGGUGGGCUCACCCCAAAUUCACUUCCUAGUUCUAUACCUCAUAAUGAUGUAUUUUCACUCUGUAUACAAACUCACUUCUUAGUUCUUACUAUACCUCAUAAUGGUGUGUUUUCACUCUCUAUACAAAUUUAGACUACAUGUAUCUACAUGACCCUUUUAUCCAAAGAAACCAAAUAUUUUAACUUUCAAAACCUCUGCUGUGGUAGGUUAAGUACAAAAUUGCUUCAGCAAGUUCCCAGACAAGAGGAUGCCUUGCACAUAAAAGGUUAGUGAAGGGCACAUUAGAAAAAAACCUUUUAUGACAACUUAAAAAACCAAAAAUGCCCUUUUUUAUUUCGGACUCCAAGGGUGAUAAACCAUCUUGCGCAGCCAAUUUCGUACAGAGACCAAAUAAAGAGAAUUCAAAUAGCUUACAUCCCCAAAAUCAAAUUCGUAGGGAAGAUAAAAGGCUAUCACCCUAAAUACGGUUUAAAUAUUUAGCAGCUCAGAUUCUUAUUUAACUCAAGUUGCUGCCUUUUCUAUAUAUAUUAAUAAACAAACUCCAGUGUACUUCUUUACAUAGUUGGUUAUAAUUUUGAUCGGUCAUAUAUGAUUGAUGUUUUUGACACAGAAAGCUAUACAUUCGCUUCGUAUAUUUUCUUUGUUGUUUUAAAUCUAACAAAUUUGUUUAUACAAGUGAGAAAAUGAAGUAAUAGAAUAAUCAGUAAGAUUUCCCAACCGUUCAAGAUAGUACAGUUGACGAUUCGAUAUUUCAUAUAUCUCAAGCAGAAACAAGAAUUAAGCAGCAGAAAAAAAUUACAUUGAACAUAGGCAUAAGCAUAAACAAGAAGGCACCAAAUGACCUUUGAAAAGAACUUUUGAGCAUGACUCCUGAUCUGCACAGCUGUCUUUGUUCCUAUAUAUUCUGCAAAUCACCAUGUAAAAACAAAAUGGAAAGAAAAAUACAACAAUAAAUAACAAAACUAUUCAGUUGUUGGUCCUAACAAACAUAUCCUACGAAUCUUAGCCUCAAUCCACAAAAACACUAGCUCUAAAAUGAUAGCAGCAAAAUCUAAACUAAGAGGGAAAAAGCAAGUGAAAAAACCUUCAAUGCGUUGCCAAGCUCGUCCAUAGAGCUUCAAGGCCUCUAGAAACCUAUUAUGCUCUUCCUCGCUCCAUCUUUCACGUUGUUUCGUAAUAGUAUAAGGCUUCCUAGUCUAUCAUUUAACAUACAAAAUUCAAUGGUCCAAAUUAUAACAAACACAAACCCCCAUUUUUUUACAAAGCUUCAUUUAAGAGAAGAGUUUACCUUAAUAACUAGUUCUUCACCAGAGGAGUAUGUGUCCAUUGAAACAGCGUCACCGCUGCUUCAAAUCCUCUCUAACAAGCAAAGAGUAUAUCACAAACCUCCUUUCAUUUCUUCCAACAUCCAAUACGACAAAUAGUAAUGCCGUUUUUGAGCUCCACAAAACCUGAUGAAUGCUAUUUAAUACUGCAAAAAGAAAAAACACAAAAGAACAACAACAACAAAUCGAUGGAGAUCCGUCUCUGUUUGUAUUUUUAUUCCAAUUAAAUUAAUAUUAAUUUCUCAUCAUUUAAUAAAAAUAUUUACUUAAUAAAAAUUUGGGGUGAAUGCUAAAUCUCUGGAAAAAUUAAAAUAAAAUAAAUAAAAAUUAAGUAUCCACCGUAACAAAGAGAAGAGACGGCUUCUUCCAAAGAACUUAAAAGAAAAUUCUCACCAAAACGAACCCGUAGACGCCAAAACCUUUAAUAGAAAAUGAUACGAAAAAAAAAAAGAAACUUUAAUUAGUAAUCAACAACACACUUCCACUGUUCCACAUCCAAUCUAUCUAUUGACAGCCAAUAAUAAUUCUUCACCUUCUGUUUGGUCGCCGAGAAAAAAAACAAAAGGAUUCAAAUUCAAUCACUUUUCUUUCGUUACUCUACUCAGCUGCAUAUAAAGAACACAACUUCCAAACUCAGCUUAGCAAAGCCUUUAAGGAAGGCCCUAGAAAUGAAGUGUAAAUACCUUAAAGAGAUAACCAUGGAAGAUGACAACAAUGGAAGCAACGAUCACGUAUCAAAAAUGGGUUCACCGGAAACCAGCCGGAGAGCUCAUAGUUUCCGGCAAUGACAAGAUCGGAAUCAACAGAAUUGGAAAAAUUAAAAGUAGUCUUUUUUGGGAGAAAAGAACUUGAAUAAACCCAAAAAAAAAAAGUGAAAGCAAGCUUAUUUUCUGGUGAUAAACUGAAAAAACACCAGAAACUACAGUAUGGGGAAGAAACAAAAGGAGAAAUCUCAGCCACUACAAUUUCAUGAGGAUUUUUUUUUUGGAAAAUUACAAAAAUUGGGCAGAAAAUUAUGUGAGGCUAUAAAAGAAUGAACGGUAAGAUACAUUAGAUGUUGCCAAGUGGCAAUAAUUUAGUGGCUGAUUCAACUAAAAGCCCACCGUUGCACUUUUUCCCUUAUUUUUUUGAUCUUUUUUUCUUUUUGCCCUUCUUGUUUCCUACCUUCAUCUUCAAAUAUCAGCCACAAGCUCCCAAUGGUCUUGGUGUUAAAUUAGUAAAAGCGCCAUUUGGUAUACCACAUGGUUCCUGCCGUCAACGUUUACGCAAUUCGUUGGCGUGGGCAACCGGUACGUGUCGGUUACAGGGGUAGCUUUGGUGUUAAAAGCACCGGAUUUGUGACCAUUAGCCACCGUAUGAGGUGAUGAGAUUUUAGGGUUGCAACAAAUCUAGGGAUAUGCUAUGCUCCCUUCCAUAAGUACUUGUAUUUUUUAUAGAUUUGAAAUUUAGUUCCUGUACUUUUAUUUUUAGGAAUUUAGUCAUUUUACUUUUCAAAUUUUUAAAUUCAGGUUUUACUGUUAACAUUGUUAAAAUUAUUUGUUAAAUUCAAGUUCAUUAUAAUAUUAUUUUUUUAGUUAAGUUGCUACCAAGUGAAUUUUUUUUUAUUUCAAUAUGUAAUAUAAGCCAAUUUAACGAAAAAAAUUAUAACAAUGUUAACAAUUGAACCUAAAUUUUGAAAUAUAGAAAGUAAAGAGACUAAAUUUUAAAUUUACAAAGAGUACAGGGACAUGACAUAUUUUAACCUUUUUUAUUAAACUUGUGAGUUACAACUUAAUUCCUAAAUUUGAAUUUCAUUAGAGUAUAUUAGCGUGUCGCUCUAAUAUUAGGUCACAUUGUCAUUUGAAAAUUUUAAAAAUUUUAUAUGAUAUCUAAAGAAUGCAAAAGGAAAAAAUUAAAGAAAUUCAUGUGGCGAUGGGAGAUAAUCUUAUAAUGUCACAUUAUUAUACUUUAACAAGAUCUAAGAUAAGAAACCAAAUUGAGAAAAACUAUCAAGCUUAAAGACUAAUGUGGAUAAAAAAAAAGUUGAAGGAUCAAGAUGAAAAUUUUAUCAAAUUUAAGAUCUAAAUGUUGCUUUAUGAUUAUUUUUUUUUAUCUUUUUAAGAUAAGAGUAAACUCCAUCAAUAUUCUCUAAACUUCAUUUAAAAAAAUGAUGUAUCAUGUUUUGCCAUUAAUAAUAAUCAGACUAAGCUCAUUUUAAAACAACGCCCCUAUUUAUUGUAAUGAUAUAGCAUUAUUCUUAUUCAAGUGCCUUGAUGUCCUCCGCUAAUGGUUGGAGCCUCCAAUCGAUGGACCUUACAUCCUGCUCAAAACUCUUGCAUAAAGCUUUCAUGUUAGGUGCAAAGAUACCAAUAGUGAAUCCAAACCUCUUUGCCUCAAUCAUUGCUUCUCUUAUUACGAAUAAAAUAGCUUGCUUAGUGGUAACCUCAUGUAAUGUGCUACAAAAACUUGUAAAUUUUAUUCAUUGAAUAUUAAAGAUUGUUAGAGACACUCCGAGGAAGAUAGUCCCUUUCUUCCAAGCUACCAAAGCAAUUCCCGAUAUAGUACCAUGAGGAACAUUCGAUCUAAUUGAUUUGCUCUGUUGUAUUCGAAAAUACCUCUCCGUAGCAUUCUUCCAUUUCUUGUCCUCAAACACCUAUAUUUCAUAGUCCUUGAAGAUUUCAAACCCUGUUGAUUACACUUAAGGAUUAACAUCAUAUCCUUUAAAAUAAUAUUCAUUUAUAUGAAUCCGUAUAUUCUAUAAGAUGCAAAUAAUCACUUAAUGCGUAUCAUCUAUUAAUAAAAGAGAAAAAUUGAUGUUGAUUGUAACACCCCUAACCCGUAUCCGCUGCCAGAACAGGGUUUCAGAGCAUUACUACCAUUUACAGAUCACUAAAAAAAAUUUAAAUACUUACCGAUUCAAUGCAUCAUAUAAAUAAAUAUAUUACCAUUCAAUCAACAGUUUGACACUUGUAUAAGCAUCAAACAACAACAUUGUUAGUAUACUUGCACAUAUCUCAUAUAAAGUCAACAUUGAUAUAUCUAUUUUCUCGACAUAUCGCACUUGAGUUUAAUAAUAGUCUCAACUUACAUAAUUUCCUUGUAUCAACAUAUCAAAGAUAAUCAUAUAUGUACAUGUCAUGAAACAUAUCAUGCUCUUACCGUUUCUUCAUAAGCAUAUAUCAUUCAUUUCAUUAUAUCAAUAUUUCAUACUCCAUCAUUUCCAUAUAUUUUAUGUAUAUUUAUUCCGGUAAUAGCUUAUAUCAAACUUAACAUAAAUUAUAUUCCAUGUACUUAUACUUAUUUCGUUUAUCUAUCUUCAUAAUUAUUUCAUAUAACCAUUCGUCAUCUGAUACAUAUUACCUGAAUAUCAAUUGUUCAACAGAUGUUAGAGCGUCUCCCAUCCACGGUCUUAUUUAUCUUUGACAUGAUGCCAUAGUGUCUUUCAACUAUGGUCUUACUCAUUUUCUGUCAUGUUGCCAUGGUAUCUUUCAACCAUGGUCUUGUUCAUUUCAUAUCACGUUGCCAUGGUAUCUUUCAACCAUGGCCUUACACAUUUCAUAUCUGGUUGCCAUGGUAUCUUUCAACCAUGGCCUUACACAUUUCAUAUCAGGCUGCCAUGGUAUCUUUCAACCAUGGCCUUACACAUUUCAUAUCAGGUUGCCAUGGUAUCUUUCAACCAUGGUCUUACACAUUUCAUAUCAGGCUGCCAUGGUAUCUUUCAACCAUGGUUUUACACAUUUCAUAUCAGAGAGCACACUCCCGCGAACCUCAUCCUUACAGUGGGAUUACCAGUCCAGGCUAAAUCCCUUGUAAUAUAAACUCAUAGAGUAUUGUCGGGAUUACCAGUCCAGGCUAAAUCCCCUGCAACGACAAUUACUCUAAUGAGCUUGGAUCUGAAUUACCAGUCCAGGCUAAAUUCAGACCCUAAUUCGGAUUACCCGUCCGGGCUAAAUCCAUUUUACACGUAUUCUUCGGGAGGGCUAUAUCAAGAUAGGAUCACCCGUCUGGGCUAGAUCCUUUUUACCGUCAAUUCCUUUUCAGAGAUCCAUCGAAUUUUCCUUUCAUUCAACCGAGAUUUCUUCCCAUUUUAUCAAAUAUAUCAAUGUUUCAUAAAUUUUCAUACAAUGAACAUUCAAAUCAUAUUCACAUCAAUAACAUACAAUCUCAAGUAUUUAAGAAUAUAAUUCAAGUUACACGAACUUACCUCAUUGCUUGUUUGUGUUUAUAAUUUCAUUAAUCCGAUAUCUUUUCUUUUCCACAAUCAAGUCUCAUAUUUGAGUCGUCCGGAUCUUUAUAAAUAAAUUUGAUCAUCAUUUUCAUUCAUUUCAUCUUCUAAUGCAUUUAAUUAAUGCUCUAGGCAAGAUUACCAUUUUGCCCCUAAACUUUUAAUUAAUGACAAUUUCGUCCUUAGGGUCAAGAAAAUAAAAUUCUUGCAAUUUAAUCCUUAUUUCCAGCUAUUAUUCUCAUAUAUAUUGAUAACAGUCCAUGGAUUCUAUAAAAUAUCAUAAUUUUCCAUAAUUUCAACACUUUUCAAUUUAAUCCCUAAAACAUGUUUUCCCCCGAUCUUGAACUAAAUUAAUAAUUUCAUUCAAUUUUGUAAUUUAAAUAAUAAAAUAAUCCAUUUCAUGCAAUUUGGUUAUUUUUGACAUUUUUACAAAAUUACCCAUAAAGUUUUACUUUUAUUCAAUUUAGUCCCUAAGCCUAAAAUAUGCAAAUUAACCAUGCUUAAUGAAUAUUCAUAUAUUUUUUCCUCCUCCUCCUCUCCAUUCCACAUACUUGAUGUAUGUAGCACACUUGUAAGUAACAUUAUCUAAAUCUUUAUUAUUUACUUUUAUGAAUAUUCAAGCUGUCCAUCUGUGUCAUAGUCACUAAAUUAUUUAUAUCUGGAUCUAUAGGACUCCAAAUUAAUAUCCGCUAAUUUUCCCUGAAACUAGACUCAUAUAUCUUCUUACCAUAAAAUUUUCAGAAUUUUUGGUUUAGUCAAUAAGUACAGUUUAUUCUUUAAAUUUACCCCUAUUCUGCUGUCUGACAGUUGUGACCCUUCUUCACUAAAAAUUAAUUAUCUCCUUGUACAGAAUUCGAAUGAUGUUCAUAUUUGUUUCUAUUGAAAAUAGACUCAUUCAGGAUUAUAAACAUAUAAAUUUAAUCCCCUAAUUAUUUUUAUCCAAUUUUUUUAUGAUUUUACAAAUUCAGAAUAGGGGAACCCGAAAUCAUUCUGACCUUGUCUCACAAAAUUCAUCAUAUUUCAUGAUUUAGAAUUCCAUUGCUUACAUAAUUUCUUCUAUAAGAAACUAGACUUAAUAAGAUUUAAUUUAAUAUUUUAUUCAUCCUAUAAUUAGAUUUCUACAAUUUUUGAUGAUUUUUCAAAGUUAGACUACUGCUGCUGUCCAAAACUGUUUUAGUACAAGAUAUUAAUUACCAUGUUAUAACAUCCUUAUUUUCUUUUUCUACACCAUUGCUCAUCACUUUCUCUUAUUUUUUCUUCACUAACAUAUCAAGAACAUAGGACCUUAUGUAAGAAAACUCUACUAUAACAUUAUUUCCAUGCUUUAUCAAUAAUAACAAACUUAAAAACAUAUUGAAAUCUUGAUGUACUUACCUUUUCUUAUUGACUUCAAUCUUUAACUUGAUUUUUCUCUCUCCUCCAGCUUCGAUUUCUUGAAUCCAACUUGAUAUUCUUGCUCCCCAUCAUCUCCUUGCUAUCUUUCUCUCUUGAUGGCUAUGGAAAUUCUUUCAAUUUUUAGGUGAAAAUAAUGAAUUUUUGGUGGAAGGACUAAAUUGUAAAGAAAGCAAACUUCUUUUCUUCUUCUUAUCUUGCGUUAGUUUGCAUGGGAAAGGAAAUGUGUUGAUAAUUCUUCAUCUUUCCUUCCUUUUAUACUAAAUAAAUAAUAAUAUAAUAAUAAUAAACAUCUCAUAAAAUAUUAAUAAAAUAAUAUUUAUCUAAUUAAUUAAUUUAAAAUAUCAUCAACAUAAUCAUUACAUUCUAGAAUUCUCUCUCUUAAUUAAUUGACCAUUUUGCCCUUCAUGAUCUUUUAGAAUUCCAUCCUUGAGUCAUCACUUAAUUUGGUAAAAUUACGAUUUAGUCCCUCAUAAUUUUUUUACCUAUUCAAUUUGGUCCUAAUUCAUCAAUUUUUCUUGGUUUCUAGAUCAUUCCACCCUUAAAAUAUUUGCACCAUUAGUCCUUCAAUUUUUUAUAUUUACACUUCAACCCCUUAAAUUUUGAGUAUUUACUCUUGUGCAACAAGACUUUUCUCAUCUUUGCAAUUUAGUCCUUUCUUGAAUUAAUAUAUCAUAAUAUACUUCUCAAUAUUGACAUCACUCAAAAACUCCCUUUUGGUCACUUUAUUUCCUUAUUUUACUAUAUCACGGAUAAUAUUUUACUGUAAAAAUUUUCGGGGUAUUAUAUUGAUGCAUUUCCUCCUUAAUAUAACAUGCAAGAUAAAACUCUGAAUAUCACAAUUAUUAACUUCAGUCGGCUUAAAACCUAAAAUCAAUUCCAACCAAACUACUCUAACUAAGAAGAGAUGAUCAUAGGAUUCCAUAUAUUAGCCACAAAAGCUACAAGUUGUAUCAAAACAAUUAAUUCUUCUACCUAUUUCCUCUUUUAAAGGCAAAACUUUGACACAUAUUUUUUAUAGAAAUAGUAAUUCAAAAGAUUAAUAAUUAAUUUGAACUAUCAUUUUAAUAUUUUUAAAAUUUUUUUAAUUAUUUUAAAAAUUACUUAAAAAUUAUUAAAAUUUUAACCUAAUCCUUUAAACCGGAGCUUUUGGGUUUUACUUUUUUUUUUUUAAAACUUAAUCCUUUGAUGUUUUUCUUAUUCUUUUUAAAUCACACCAAACUGUUAUUUUAGCGUAUACCAAUGAUUAAAGUAUACAAAUUCUCAAAAUUAGAACAGUUAUUUUUAUAAUAAAAUUAUUAAAAUAUAAAAAUAACUCAAUAUUGAAUCAGUUAUUUUUCAAUUUAACAGAUAUUAUUAUGGAAAAAAAAGCUGGGUUUUAAUUAAGAGAACCCAAAACCCCAAUCUUUAAAUUCUACUGAUUUAAUCAAAUUAGCAAAAGUUAAAAAAAAAAAAAAACGACAGUUAGACUACAAGGGAAAAACCAAAAGAGAAAAAAAUUUAUUUUCGUUCUUUUAAUGAUUUUUAUAAUUUUUAAUUAUUUUUAAGAUUUAAAAAAUUGAAAAUAUCAAAAUGAUAUUUUUAACUAUAAUUUAAUAAACAAAUUAAUUAUUAAUCCUUUAAAUUAAGUAUCAUGUUGUUCCCUAACAGAAAUUAACGGACGAAUAAUUAAAAUAUAAUAUUUAAAUAAUAUUAAUAAUCAUUUCGUAUCUUUUAAAAAUUCAAUCAUUCAAUUAAAUAAAAUUAAAUAUUCAAUCGUUACACAAAUUACUAGAGCCAUUGAAAUAAACCAAAAACGGUUCUUAAUUUGUCUACAAAGUCAACACUCUAUCCUAUACACUCACAUGAAUAAAAUUUCAAUUCGGUCAGCCCCUUAAUUAUUAGAUUUAUUCAUGUUAUGCUAAUUAUUCAUUAUCAUCCAAUUCAUACAUUAAUUUGCCUUAAUUAUCCUAAAUUAACAUAGUUAACAAUUAAUCAAGAGGGAAAACAGUUCAUUUGAGUACUCACUAUUUAAUAAUUUCCAGCCAAUAAUGAAAUCAAGUCCUUGAUAUAAUUACACUCAAAUCCCUCUAAACUUCUAUUACUUUUUAAAGUAGUCCCCACCAAUUCACAUUUGUAUCCCUCCACUUUAAGCAUUUAUGUACUAGAUAAUCCCCACUUCAGUUUUCCUACUAUUUUCUCUUAAAUUACACCAUCUCAAUUUACUUAUUUCAUCAUAAAUAUUUAAGUUCACUGUUUAUCUCGAAAUUUACUAUCCGGAUGAUACCAUUUCGUGGUCUAAAUUUUGAAUAGUUUAAAUAUUAUAAAUUUUAAAAAAAAUCUCAAUAAAUUUUGAUAUUGAAUAAAUUGUUCUUCUAAAAAAAUCAAAUCAAUUUAAUCCCUGACAAGUUUAAAAUAAACACUUAAGACAAUUAAUCACACUGUAAUUAUUUUUCAUGAUAUAUAUAUUAUUAAUACAAUUACAAAUUUAACCCACAACAUUUAUAUAUUCUAUCAAUCCAAUUUAGAUGUAAUUAAUUUAAUCCACAAAUUUUUCUCAUUGUCAACAUUUAUGUAGAAUAUAUAAACAUUAAAAAUUAAAUUUAUUAUUAUACUAAUAAAAAUUAUAUAUAUAAUUGACGGAAAAACAUCACUAUUAUAACCAAUUAUCAUUAGUUGCUAUUUUUUAAAUCUACAAACAUCAAUUACUCCAAUUUUGAGAAAAAUUUAAAACCGACUAGAGUAACCAAAAACAAACUUUACUACCGGACAUCCAGAGAAAAUAUCCAUAGUAGAUGUAGAUCAACUAUAUGCUACGGAAUUAAUUUCAAAAAAGUUCUAUGCUGGAGAGAUGUCGGUACCAUUUGUAUCUUCGUCUUCAAAAUCUUGAAAAAUAUGUUAUUAUUGUUUUGGGAAAUAUGUUUUCCUGAACUAAAGUAAAUUGGAAAAUAUUUAGUGCAUUGGUAAUUUUUAAAUAUUAUUUUUGGAAUAAAAAAUUAUAUUCUCAAUGUAUUAUAUACUAAUUCAAAUAAAUUUUAGUUAAAAAUGAUGAUAAACUAAUUUUUAAUAAAAGUAAUAUUAAGUACUAAACAAUUAAAUACAUCAAAAGUAACAUGUUUAUUGUAUAUAAAAGUGAAUAAAAUAUAUACAAAACAUAAAUAAUAUGAAAAUAUAUUAUUUAAUUUUAAUAUUGACAACACUACUUAUCAGAUAUAUGUAUACAUUUGCAAAGCUUCCGAAAACAAAAAACCACAAUACAAAAACAAUGAGUCAAUUGGUAACUAAACACUAAAGCAAACAGACAAGGCUUGGAAGGAAAAAAAAGAGUAGAUAUACUUUUUGGUUCUCUUAUGACUUUAUUAUUUAGAUUGGUACUUAAUAAAAGAGUCGACUUCUUGGGGCAGCCAACUCAAACUCUCAACAAUUGAAAAUAUUGUAUUGACAUUAAGGUUUUGUCUAGCUUCCAUAGAAAGUCAUGUACAGUUCACAAGAAAAGUACUUUAAUUAAUGGAAAUAGAUAUCUACAAAACUCGGAAAAAAUAUCAAUAUAAAGUGUGCAAAUAAUAAUGAAAAUACUUAGGUACCCCACAACUUAAGACACCAAGGUACCUCCAUUAUUAUUCACCCACCUAUACUCUCACUUCUCCCGAGUCUUGCAGGUGACUAUUUCCACCAACUGAGGUACCCCUUGAUAAAUCGUACAUGACUCUCCAUAAAAGUUAAGGACAAAACCUCGACACAAGGAUAAAACCUUCAAUUAUAGAGACCGAAUCAACUACCCGACAAACGACAUUCCAAGUAGGAGCCAAUCCCCCCUCAAUAGUACCUAAUUUCUUUAUAUAUUUUUUUCAGACUAAAAUUUGAUUUCCACCACACAUGUUAGCCCAUUUUUGAACCUUCGUUAAUCUUGAUUUAACCACAUGGGACACAUCAUGUCAUCAACUAUGUACCUACCAUGUGUAGUAAAUUUAUUGGACCACAUAAUCCAAUUUUAAAAGAGUUACAAAAAAUUGACUAAAACCUGUAAGAAAAGCCAAAUUCGAGUACCAAUCUGAACAAAAAAUAUAUAUGUACCAAUUUAUACAUCAAAACCAAACGUACCAAAAAAUAUAUCUACCUAGAAAAAACUAAGCAUAAAAACAGUUGAACUAUGAACUCAGUGGGGCAAUCUGUUUAAAUUGCCUUUUCAUGCAUAAUAAAGGUUUCAGCUUCAGCUAGAGUUCACUAAGCAAAAGGUAUAAGAAUAAUGAUAAAGACAAAGGCAUUCAGAUUCAAUACUUCCUUUAAAUGCUUCUAUCUCAGAGGGAGUUUUUUAACUGCAGUAGCAAGCAUAAAAAAGUCCAGGAAAGCGAAUAAGUCAAUGUAGAUAUUAGAUAGUACACAACACCACCUACACGAAAAGUCUCGUGAGCUGCAAUCGAAUAAAAGUCUUUUAAGAUCAACAUAUGAAAAGGAAAUAAGAUAUGGGGGAAGAACAUUAGAGAUUGCAUUCAACAAACAAACUUUGCCUUUGUUAAUUGUAUGCAAUUGUGUAAAAGUCAAGUUGACGGUUCCCCUUCCAAGCGUACCCUCUUGGGACAUUUCUCUUCACCUUGACUGCCAGUGUUCAUCACUCUGUUUUCUUUGGCUUCCACAGAACACCUUUUGUAAGGUUUAAAUCCAGUUCGGCCAGCUUUUAGUUUUGAAUGUCCUAAUCCAAUAGUCAGCAGGCCCUCUUCUGUACUGUUCUUGUCUCUUGAUAAUGCAUUUUUCACAGUUUCUUGAUGAUCAGAACAAGAACCCCAUGUAUUGCUGUUGAGAUCUAAAGUUGAUAUUUCUUCGUCUUCCUCAGCUGGAUUUUGCUUGUCUUCACCUAUAUUUUCCUUUUGCUGCCCCUUGCUCUUGCCGUCAUGUGGAGGAGAAAAGCUUUGUGGGAGUACCUCCCGGGAGAAGAGGGCUUGAAAAGCUAGCCGCCCCUGAAUAAGUAGUGGAGCCAUACAGUGGCAAUUGUACAAAACAAUUAGAAUAAUAAUUAAAGUUGGGCUAUAUGGGAAAAUUGACAUAUCGACUCACCUCUUCAGAUACCUCCUUCCAAGAAUCACUCAGGUUGCUAUUGCUUCUACUACUACGACGGUAACAUUCAACUUGUGGAUGAUUGGGGUCAGCUCCUUUUGAAUCUUCCUUGUCUUUUUCAUGUUUUUCUAACGCAUCUGUCUCUACCUCACUGCUUGAAGGAGUGUUGGAGCCACAUGAGGACCGGUCAACUUGUUUUUUGUUCUUUGUUUUAUUUGCAUCCUGAGGCUCAAUUACUUCAGCAGCCGUCUCAUCAUCGGUAGCUUUCACUCCAGUAUUCACUUUUGCAUCUCCUCUCUCUUCACAGUCCGACGAUGAUGAAGUAGGUGAUUUAGAUGAUGAAUGCUGACCUUGCAAAGCUUCAGAGUUCUCAGGGUCUAGUUGCUCAACCUGCAGAGAUAGAGCUUGAUCAGUUUUACCCUUUUGUUCUGUCUUGGCAGCUGGAGGUUGACCAUUCUCCAUUGGUGGAACUGCAGCAGUGGAUGCAGGAAAACAGGUAAAGCCUGUAUGCAGAGGAGCACAUACAGGAAACAGUCCAUGGGCGGCCCACCAUGCAGUGGCAGCUGCUACAGUUGCAGCAGCGAUUGCAGCCAUUCUUGGAGCAGAGUUCAUUUGUCUAGAUGGGAAACCUCCUAAGCCGCCUGCAGGAGAAUCGCCAGAGCUUUCAAUAUUCGCAUAAGGCCAAAAUCUUGCUGCAAAGCUUGCUGCAGCAUGGGCAGCUGGAUUCUGUAACAAAGUAGAUACAAUGAGACUGGAAAAAGUGGAGGAGACAUGUAGAAAUGAUCGAUAGUCCUCUUGAUUUGGGCGAAGAUGCAUAAAGGGAGUAUGAAAAGGUGGCAGUGCCUGCUGAGUUGAUCUCGGAGCAUUAUUCUGAUGUUCAGUAGUUGCAGAUGCAGCUAGAUUUGCGGACAGGUUAGGUCCAUGAACAUCACCCAUAGGGCAAAAUACAGAAUCCUGAAAUGACAUAUCCAGGGAAGGAUUUUGAGCACAUGUUCUCAGGCUUCCAUCUAGGACAUGCACAGAAACAUGUCUAGGAUAAUUUUGAGCGGCUUGCAUUUCAUCUGCACAUAAAGCACCAUCCAAAUCAUCUUUUCUUUGGCCUUGAGCUG